RNAcentral lists this ribosomal RNA (493 nucleotides) under uncultured bacterium. RNAcentral describes it as "partial 16S ribosomal RNA". It matches the Rfam family "Bacterial small subunit ribosomal RNA", at positions 28 to 506 of the family's 1533-position model. The record is from RNAcentral.
GACGAACGCUGGCGGCGUGCUUAACACAUGCAAGUCGAACGGUGAAGCGCCUUCCUUUUUGGUGGGUGUGGAUGAGUGGCGAACGGGUGAGUAACACGUGAGUAACCUGCCCCCUUCUUCUGGAUAACCGCAUGAAAGUGUGGCUAAUACGGGAUAUUCUGGGUCUGUCGCAUGAUGGGUCUGGGAAAGAUAUUGUUUCGGUGGGGGAUGGGCUCGCGGCCUAUCAGCUUGUUGGUGGGGUGAUGGCCUACCAAGGCGGUGACGGGUAGCCGGCCUGAGAGGGUGGACGGUCACACUGGGACUGAGACACGGCCCAGACUCCUACGGGAGGCAGCAGUGGGGAAUAUUGAACAAUGGGCGCAAGCCUGAUGCAGCGACGCCGCGUGAGGGAUGGAGGCCUUCGGGUUGUGAACCUCUUUCGCCAGUGAAGCAGGCCUGCCUCGUUUGUGGGUGGGUUGACGGUAGCUGGAUAAGAAACGCCGGCUAACUACGU